This 447-nucleotide ribosomal RNA is filed under the name uncultured bacterium. RNAcentral's name for it is "partial 16S ribosomal RNA". It matches the Rfam family "Bacterial small subunit ribosomal RNA", at positions 29 to 523 of the family's 1533-position model. The record is from RNAcentral.
AACGAACGCUGGCGGCAGGCUUAACACAUGCAAGUCGAGCGCGUGGCAACACGAGCGGCAGACGGGUGAGUAACACGUGGGAACAUACCCUUUUCUACGGAAUAACGCAGGGAAACUUGUGCUAAUACCGUAUACGCCCUUAGGGGGAAAGAUUUAUCGGAGAAGGAUUGGCCCGCGUUGGAUUAGCUAGUUGGUGGGGUAAAGGCCUACCAAGGCGACGAUCCAUAGCUGGUCUGAGAGGAUGAUCAGCCACAUUGGGACUGAGACACGGCCCAAACUCCUACGGGAGGCAGCAGUGGGGAAUAUUGGACAAUGGGCGCAAGCCUGAUCCAGCCAGGCCGCGUGAGUGAUGAAGGCCUUAGGGUUGUAAAGCUCUUUCACCGGAGAAGAUAAUGACGGUAUCCGGAGAAGAAGCCCCGGCUAACUUCGUGCCAGCCGCCGCGGUAA